This 258-nucleotide ribosomal RNA is filed under the name uncultured bacterium. Its description in RNAcentral is "partial 16S ribosomal RNA". It matches the Rfam family "Bacterial small subunit ribosomal RNA", at positions 96 to 354 of the family's 1533-position model. The record is from RNAcentral.
CGGCGGACGGGUGAGUAACGCGUGGGUAACCUGCCUCAUACAGGGGGAUAACAGUUAGAAAUGACUGCUAAUACCGCAUAAGCGCACAGGACCGCAUGGUCAAGUGUGAAAAACUCCGGUGGUAUGAGAUGGACCCGCGUCUGAUUAGUUAGUUGGUGGGGUAACGGCCCACCAAGGCGACGAUCAGUAGCCGGCCUGAGAGGGUGAACGGCCACAUUGGGACUGAGACACGGCCCAAACUCCUACGGAAGGCAGCAG